RNAcentral lists this ribosomal RNA (301 nucleotides) under uncultured bacterium. Its description in RNAcentral is "partial 16S ribosomal RNA". It matches the Rfam family "Bacterial small subunit ribosomal RNA", at positions 509 to 807 of the family's 1533-position model. The record is from RNAcentral.
CAGUCGCCGCGGUAAUACGAAGGGUGCAGGCGUUAAUCGGAAUUACUGGGCGUAAAGCGUGCGUAGGCGGUGAGUUAAGUCUGCUGUGAAAUCCCCGGGCUCAACCUGGGAAUGGCAGUGGAUACUGGCUCGCUAGAGUGUGUCAGAGGAUGGUGGAAUUCCCGGUGUAGCGGUGAAAUGCGUAGAGAUCGGGAGGAACAUCAGUGGCGAAGGCGGCCAUCUGGGACAACACUGACGCUGAGGCACGAAAGCGUGGGGAGCAAACAGGAUUAGAUACCCCCGUAGUCCCUGUCUCUUAUAC